UAUCCAAAUGAAAAAUGCCAUUAAAGAUUGGAGACUUGUAGAUUCUAUAAAUAGUUUUAUAGACAUCAACUAAAUGAUGCCACCCUAAAGUUAUAGGUUCUCAAAAUUGCUGUUAUAUUGAUCCAACGAAAAAAAAAUAACAUAGUUCAAGGAAAUAGUAAGUUAGAGAAUUAAGAUUGGCUUUGAUUAUUACAGAGUUAAAUCAAAAUUAUAGAAGCUUUUCAUAUAGCCUGCAAAAAUCUGCCUGAUCAUUUCUGUUAACUUCUCUUUGGAGCAUUACAAUAAAAUAGGGUUUUUGCAUAUCAUUGGAUUGGUG
Molecule: unclassified non-coding RNA, 316 nt
Filed under: Hevea brasiliensis (rubber tree)
Lineage: Eukaryota; Viridiplantae; Streptophyta; Magnoliopsida; Malpighiales; Euphorbiaceae
Source: RNAcentral